CUCUUGGUCAUUUAGAGGAAGUAAAAGUCGUAACAAGGUUUCCGUAGGUGAACCUGCGGAAGGAUCAUUACACAUUCGGGGCGCUUCGGCGCUCCUUAUACACCCACCCUCUGCCUACGUGUACCUCUAUAGCUUCCUCGGCGGGCUCGCCCGCCGCCAGGAACCCACGAAACCCCUUGCAUUAUACGCGAAAACUUCUGAUAACAAACCUAAAUUAUCACAACUUUCAACAAUGGAUCUCUUGGUUCUGGCAUCGAUGAAGAACGCAGCGAAAUGCGAUAAGUAGUGUGAAUUGCAGAAUUCAGUGAAUCAUCGAAUCUUUGAACGCACAUUGCGGCCAUAGGUAUUCCUUUGGCCAUGCCUGUUCGAGCGUCAUUUACACCCUCAAGCCUAGCUUGGUGUUGGGCGUCUGUCCCGCCGUUCUCGCGCGCGGACUCGCCUCAAAGUCAUUGGCGGCGGUCGUGCCGGCCCCCUCGCGCAGCACAUUUGCGCUUCUCGGAGGCCCGGCGGAUCCGCGCUCCAGCAAGACCUUUCACGACUUGACCUCGGAUCAGGUAGGGAUACCCGCUGAACUUAAGCAUAUCAAUAAGCGGAGGA
Molecule: ribosomal RNA, 597 nt
Filed under: Periconia macrospinosa
Lineage: Eukaryota; Fungi; Ascomycota; Dothideomycetes; Pleosporales; Periconiaceae
Description: eukaryotic LSU rRNA
Rfam family: 5.8S ribosomal RNA (bases 222-375)
Source: RNAcentral